GCCGAAGUAACUCAGCCUGGCUAGAGUGAUGCUCUCAUAAGGCAUAAGUCGGGAGUUCAAAUCUCCCCUUCGGCA
Molecule: transfer RNA, 75 nt
Filed under: Candidatus Woesearchaeota archaeon
Lineage: Archaea; Nanobdellati; Candidatus Woesearchaeota
Also listed under: 1 other name
Description: tRNA-Met
Rfam family: tRNA
About the family: Transfer RNA (tRNA) molecules are approximately 80 nucleotides in length. Their secondary structure includes four short double-helical elements and three loops (D, anti-codon, and T loops).
Source: RNAcentral